AUGUGUGUUCUACUCAUGGAGAACUAUACACAUAUUUUAGUGUGCUGCCAAUCUCUAGCAUCUUUGGAAGUUACAUCUAUCAGCGUGGAAUUCUCACCUGAGGCCUGCUCGUUCAACAAACAUCGUCUGAGGGCCUGCUAUGUGACUGGAAAUGUGCUAAGCAUUAGGUUGCUCUGCUCACAGGAGGACAUUAGGAGGAGAGUGGAUCACUUAAUCUUUCAUCAAGGCCACAUUGGUGUUAUUUCAUCCAUUUUGGUGGGCAUUGAGAUAACAUGGCUGUAGCUGUAUGGGCCUCCUCUGUACCCUGGAGCAGGUAUGGACUUCAACAUUGAAAUUGGUAGAGCUCACAAAUACACACUUUAACGAAAGUUUCUCUAGUCACACACACUGGAGUAAGUACUGUCCUAGAAUUCCCAGGUGGGUCUCCCUCUUUCCUCGAUGAAACACCUGAUCCUGUUUGAACAAGGUUGCUGAUUGUCUAGUAUCUCACAUAGGGUGAUCUUUCCAUGUUUUCUGCCUUCCAGAACUUGUGACCCAUAAAUGGUUGAUAAAUGAGGAAAAUGACUUGAAUCAGGGAAACUAAUAAGACUAGGUAUCCUGCUGGCUGUCAUUCAAUCUUUGACAUACAAAAGACCUACCCAGAAGACUCUGCAGGGGCAAUAGCAUCACUCUGAAGAUCAUGGUGCUCUAUCAAGAAGUGUGUUGCCAAUUUAAGCCAAACAAGUGUCCACUGAGAAUCACCACAGGCUCAGCCUUCCCACUGUGGUGAUCUGAGAAGACAGGCACUGUGUGUAGCAGAACUUAAUGUUCAGAGGGAUAGAAGGGAGACAAAGCAGCCGCAUGUGCAUUGUACUUCAUUCUUCUUUCUGGUGGUCUUGCAAAGAGCCUCUCCUCUCCUGGUAGCUGCUAUAAUUAGUAUCCUAUUAUCUUGUCACUGUUCAAAUUUGAUUUGCUAAAUCAUUCUGAACUUCCCUGGCAGGCUGCUGGUGCAAGGUCAGAAAAUAACAUUUCAUACUUAUUUUAGGCCAGCUUCCCUAGAAGCAGGGUCUGAGAUGGGGAUUUAAAUGCAUGUGAUUUGUUGGAAGAGUGCUCUUAGGAGAAGGGCGGAAAGUAGGAUAGGACAGGAGAAGAAACUCAGCAAAGAUGUGGUUCAGCUGAGGUUUCAUCUCGGUCGGAUCCUACAGGAAGCUAUAGAGAAUGAAGGGCACCAGAGACCAAGUCGUACCCUGAGGCAAAGAGGCUGGUCCUUUGAACCCUCUUACCAAUCAGCUACAGAUUAUCCCCAGAAAUUUAGUGUAACCCCAUACCUCCCAUAUAUUUCUCGGUGAGACAACUCCUCUAGACCAAGGUCGCAGUAGAAGGAGGAAAGCAGUUAUCUGGAAGCAAACAAUACUCACAGCAACAGGGGACGGGACUCCUCAGAUGAAGUGUAUCUUGACAAUACUUACCAGCAAUUGUUUAGUUAUUUUAGGCAAAAAAGGAAACUUUUCCAAUUUUAGAUAUUAAUUUUUUUAAAAUUUCAUUACCCUUCACUGCUUCAAGUUCAGUAUAACUAUUAACUCAUUUAAUCCCCAUGACAGCCCAGGAAUGUAUGUGCUAUUGUUGUUUUCAUUUUACUGAUAAAAAACUAGAAGCACUAAAAACCUUGGAUAGUUGCAUAAUUACACAGCAGAGGUAGACAUGAGAUGGGGCAGUCUGGCUCCAGAUUCUUUAUUCUUAGCUAUGAGGUAUCAACCGAAUGACUGCCAUUCUGAGAGUAGGCAUGGCAUCAUAUACCCUCACUCAAUGUUUGACACAUUGUAGGUGCCCAUUUUAUGUUGCCUAAAUGAAACCAAAUGAAACAAAUGGACAAAGAAACAAUCUUGGAUAAAAUAUGGACCCCAAAGAUCUUGUAUAGGUUAGCUUUUGUUGCACAUUAAAGAGUCUUAAAACUUAGUAACUUAAAACAACAAAUAUUAACUAACUUUCAGUUCUGUGGAUUAGCAAUUUGGGCUAGAAACAUCUGGGUAGUUCUCUUGUUCUUUACGGGCUCAGGCCUGCAUUUCACGGUCAGCUGCCAGUUCUUUCUAGGCGGCUCUACCUCUUUGAUUAGUUGUCUAAAAGCUGGAGUAAUGGGAGCAAGUGGGCCAUGUGACUAUGAUUAUCUGACCAGUUAUCUUGGGCUUGUCCACCUAGUAUCACGGCAAGAUUCCAAUAAGGAGAAUUCAAGCAUGCAAGAGGGCUUGAAGCCUACAAUAAGUAUCAUACCAUCACUUUUGUUUCAUUCAACUGGCCCAAAUCAGUCACAUGACAACUUCAGAUUCAAAGAAUGAAAUAGACUUCAUAUUUUGGUGGGAGAAGUUACUGAAUCAUAUUGCAAAAAGACAAGGAAACAGGGAGGGGAAUAAUUCGUAACCAUUUUUGGCUUUUACCACAGAAUCUUUCUGCAUCUGUUAGUUAUAUAUAAAAAUGCCAUAUAAACCCUUCCUUCAUAUUUAGUGCUUUCUUUUACAUGUAAAAUGUGGAUAAUAUUAGGUUGGAAAACUUAGAAACCAAAUUACUACUGUUAAUUGGUUAAAAAAAUCAGAGUGCCUUCUGAAACAACAAGCUUGCCUCUUGAUGCUUUUUAUCUUUUUUGCCUCUUGAUGUUUUUUAUCUUUUUUGCCUCUGAAAAUAUUGUAAAAAUAUCUCAUUAGCAGUCCUCGAGCCCUAUUUGUAUAUCUCUAUUUUAAACAAAGUUAAAAUAGAAUAAAAUGUUGGAGCUCCCACCCGCCCAAUCUAGUACCCAGUUUUACUCUCCAGAGUGACCAACCACAAGAGUCAUCUGCAUGUAUUUCCUAACGUGAUCUCCCUGGACGGGAGCAUAUUGUUACACUGUCCUCUUUCUCACUUAGCACUCUGUCUUGGAGAGAUUUUCAUAUCAGCAAAAACAGUUUUACUUCAUUUUAAGAAACCAUAUAGUGGUCCCUCCAAAGUCUAGAAAUAUACCAUAAUUUACUUACUUCUUUGUAGAUGAUUAUUUUUAUUGCUCCCAAAUUUUUGUUUCUACAGCCAGUGAUGGGGAAUAAAUUUUUAUUCAUAUUUCAUUGGAUUCUUUAUGGGAGAAAAUCUAGGAGAACUCUAGAAGUGGAAUUUAUGUUUUAAACAUGACUUUUAAAAAAUCUGAAAGAUACUGCUAAAUGAACUGCAAUGAGGGUGUGCCAAGCCUACCAAUUUUAGAUUCCUGUAAACAAUGCAUGACAGUAGGAUUUCUCCACAUGCUCAUAUAGUACAUAUUGGCAAAUAUUUACAUUUUAUCACUGUUCAACUCUUGCCAUUUUGAGAGGUGAGUAUGGUUACAUGGUUAUUUAAUUUGCAUGUUUUUAAAAUAAAUGAGGUUUUAUGCAAUUCCAUAAAUUUAUAGACUAUUUAAAUUUAAUUUUGUUAAAUGCCUGUUUAUAUUUUUCACUUAUCUUAAUAUCGUGUUAUUGAUAUUGCAAGGAAAACAUUAUAUAAAUGUUUUACAUAAUAAAGAAAAUUAAGUAUUUUGUGUAUGGCAAAUAUUGCUUCUGUUUUUUCAUCUACUUUAUUGAGAGAUACAAUACUCACACAGGAAAAUGAACUCAUCUAAAGUACAAAGUUCAAACGAUUUUGGCAAAUAUGUGCAGCAAUGUAAUCAUAACCCAAAUAAAGAUAUUCUUGGCUUAUUUUUUGUCUACAAUCCACUUCAAGUUAAUAUUUGUGUAUGAUGAUAGUCAAGUAUUUUUUCUAUACAAAUAUACAAUUGUUCCAACAUCAUCAGUUUAAAAGAGUUUUUUCCCAUUAAGUUGUCUAGAAUAUUUCUAGUAGUCCAGAAAUUUCCUCCUGUCUUUUCUAGUCAAUCACUUACACUUCUACAGAAGCAGCCACUAUUCUGACAUCUAAGUAUGUAUACUCUUUCGCAUGUGGCUUCUAACAUAUAUGUAACAUUUUCAACUAUAGCAUUUCUUUCAUCAGUAGCUUGUUGCUUCUUGUUUUGAAGUUGUUUUAGUAUACUCUCUUUCUACAGUUUGCCUGUUCACCUGUUGAUGGACAUAUGAAACAUUCUGUAUUUUGUAGUAUUAUGAAUUAAGUUGCUAUGAAUAUUCCUAUGCAUACAUUUAUUUCUCCUGAAUAUCUACCUAAAAGUGGAAUAACUAAGACAUGGAGUAGAUAUAUUUUUAAUUUUAUUUGGAUUGUCAAACUAAUUCUCAAAGUGAUUAUACCACUUUAUACUUUCACUAGCAAUGUAUGCAUAUUUCCAGGUUCUCUACAUGUCAACACUGAUGAAUGUCAGUCUUUAUGUUAUUUUGACAUGUGUGUAUAGUAUAUCUCCUGUGAUAUUAUUUUGCAUUUCUUUGAUAAUUAAUGAUAUUGAUCAUUUUCUCAUGUGAUUGGUGGCCUUUUAUCCAUCUAUUGUGUAGUAUCUGUCCAAAUGUUUCACCUCUUUUAGUUGGGUUCACUUUAUGUUAGUAUUGAUUUGUAGAAAUUCUUCGUUCAGGAUAUGAGUUUUUUUGUUACAUAUAUAUUGCACAUAUUGCCAAAGUCUAUGAUUUGCCUUUCCAUUUUUAUAGUGGUGUUGUUUUUGAUUAGCAUGUGAUUUUAAUUUUGAUAAAAUCUUAUUUGUGAAUUUGCUUUUUUUUAGGUUAGUGCUUUUUUUAAUAACUUUAUAGUAAAUCUUUGCUUACUUUUGUCUAUGAGCUAUUUCAAAUUAAUAUUUGUGUAUGAUAAUGGUCAAGUUUUUUUCUAUGUGAAUAUGCAUAGAAUAUUCUAUGCAUGUGAAUAUGUAUAGAAUAGAUGAUGUUCCAACAUUAUAUUUUUUCCCACUAUGCUGCUAGAUAUCUGAGUUCCAUCUCUGAGCUUUCUAUUUUAUUCCACUUUAUACUUGUCUAUCUUUACACCACAAUCACACUGUAUAAAUUACUGUCAAUCUUUAGGAAGUCUUAAAAUCGUGUAGUCUAAUUCUUGAUUUUAUUCUUCACAAUUAUUUCAGUAUUCUAGAUCUUUUACAUUUCCAUAUUUAUUUAAAAUCAG
This 5010-nucleotide long non-coding RNA is filed under the name Macaca mulatta (Rhesus monkey). Its description in RNAcentral is "lncRNA (ENSMMUG00000062967.1)". Lineage: Eukaryota; Metazoa; Chordata; Mammalia; Primates; Cercopithecidae. The record is from RNAcentral.